Molecule: ribosomal RNA, 915 nt
Filed under: uncultured bacterium
Lineage: Bacteria
Description: bacterial SSU rRNA
Rfam family: Bacterial small subunit ribosomal RNA
Source: RNAcentral
AGUCGACGGAAGUCCUUCGGGUACUUUAGUGGCGAACGGGUGAGUAAUACAUAGGUAACCUACCCUUAAGACGAGGAUAGCCAUUGGAAACGAUGGAUAAAACUGGAUAGGAUAUAGAGGAAGAAUCUUUUAUAUUUAAAAGAGAGAUCUGCUUAAGGAGGGGCCUGUGGCGCAUUAGCUAGUUGGUGGGGUAAGGGCCUACCAAGGCGAUGAUGCGUAGCCGGACUGAGAGGUUGAACGGCCACAAUGGAACUGAGAACGGUCCAUACUCCUACGGGAGGCAGCAGUAGGGAAUUUUCGGCAAUGGGGGGAACCCUGACCGAGCAACGCCGCGUGAACGAAGAAGUUAUUCGUAAUGUAAAGUUCUUUUAUCAGGGAAGAAAGAGGAAUUUGACGGUACCUGAGGAAUAAGCUCCGGCUAACUACGUGCCAGCAGCCGCGGUAAUACGUAGGGAGCGAGCGUUAUCCGGAAUUAUUGGGCGUAAAGGGUGCGUAGAUGGCAUAGUAAGUCUUUUGUAAAAAUGCUGGGCUCAACCCAGUAGGGCAAAAGAUACUGCAAAGCUAGAGUAUGACAGAGGCAAGUGGAACUACAUGUGUAGCGGUAAAAUGCGUAAAUAUAUGUAAGAACACCAGUGGCGAAGGCGGCUUGCUGGGUCGAUACUGACAUUGAGGCACGAAAGCGUGGGGAGCAAACAGGAUUAGAUACCCUGGUAGUCCACGCCCUAAACGAUGAGUACUAAGUGUUGGUGAGAAUCAGUGCUGAAGUUAACGCAUUAAGUACUCCGCCUGAGUAGUACGUACGCAAGUAUGAAACUUAAAGGAAUUGACGGGAGCCCGCACAAGCGGUGGAGCAUGUUGUUUAAUUCGACGAUACGCGAAGAACCUUACCAGGUCUUGACAUAGCACGCGAAGGCG